CAGGAAGUAGUUUAAUUAGAAUAUCAGCUUUGGGAGUUGAUGGUGGGGUGCGUUACCUCCUUCUUGA
This 67-nucleotide transfer RNA is filed under the name Lagostrophus fasciatus (banded hare-wallaby). Its description in RNAcentral is "transfer RNA-Pro". It matches the Rfam family "tRNA". Rfam says of the family: Transfer RNA (tRNA) molecules are approximately 80 nucleotides in length. Lineage: Eukaryota; Metazoa; Chordata; Mammalia; Diprotodontia; Macropodidae. The record is from RNAcentral.